Molecule: long non-coding RNA, 1003 nt
Organism: Bicyclus anynana (squinting bush brown)
Lineage: Eukaryota; Metazoa; Arthropoda; Insecta; Lepidoptera; Nymphalidae
Exons: 4
Source: RefSeq, a predicted model, not a curated record
CACAAAUACUCUUUCACACCUAUAUACUUUGACACCUAUAUAUAUGGACCUGUGGCAUUUUACGUCAAAUUUGGUCAAGUAUUUAUUUUUUUAAAGAAUAAACAAAAUUUUUUCGUAACCUCUCUAACUUAAAGAAAGCUACCUUAAUGGAGCGAGAUAGAUAUUUUUUUAGCCAUGCGUAAAGAGGUUAGACAUAUUUUACAUGACAACAUCAAUUAUGUCAGUUGUGACCAAAUUAUCUUUUGUUUUAGUGACCAAAAAUGGCUAUUGUUGCGGUUCCGGUGUAACGGUAUUCGAAAUAUUACGGAAAUAAUAACCAAUAAGCUUGUGAAUCGCAAAAUAAAUUAAAUAUUGUACAAUGGUGAAGUGCGCAGUUGUUGCCUGCACCAACAAAACCCAAACAAAACUAGCGGGAAAUUCAUUUCACAAAUUUCCAAAAAAGACAAAAAUGGCUAAACAGCAUUAACAGGCCUGAUUUCCAUCACGAUACAGCUGCUAUAUGCAGUAGAAUAAUCUAAUCAUUUUAAGAAGGAUCACAUUAAUUUUACAUUACGCCUUCUGCGCCUCAAAGACAAUGCCUGCCCAUCUAUCCCGAAUUUAUCACCUGAGCAACAAGUAAGACAACCCUAGCAAGAAGUGAAUUUUAAUCUGUUAUCAGAGAGUCAUGACAAUGCUGUUUCCCAAAAUGGAAUACAAGAUAUAAUGGUUGCAUCUACUUAUCAGUCAGUCAGUACACCAAACGUACAAAUAGUAAUGGCUGGUUCAAUUAAGGACGUUUUGGCUCGUAUUGUCAAAAACAUAUUUAAAAACUAAAUUUUUCUUGUAAUAACGUCUCAAAAACAUGUGAAAAAAAAAUGUAUCUAGUAGAACGAUAAUCAAAUAUUUAAGACCAUUUAUAAAAAAAACUGUCAACUAGCCUAUUACUUUUUGAUGUUUAUAACGUAUAACGUUGUAUCAAAAAUUGUAAGAUUUGCCACUUCUAUAAAUAAAUUUUGUUGAUGAA